AACGCACCUUGCGCUCCUUGGUAUUCCGAGGAGCAUGCCUGUUUGAGUGUCAUGAAAUCAUCAACCUUACUGUCUUUGUUGACGGUGUAGGCUUGGACUUGGGGACCUUGCCGGCCUUUCUGAGGUCGGCUUCCCUUGAAUGUAUUAGUCGAGCGCCCUCGCUCCGAGACGUGUGAUAAUUAUCAUUCACUGAUCGACGAGGGCUGUGCUAGGCUUCUAACCGUCGCGUUAGUGACAAUCUUGACAAUCUGACCUCAAAUCAGGUAGGACUACCCGCUGAACUUAA
RNAcentral lists this unclassified non-coding RNA (286 nucleotides) under Hyaloscypha sp. RNAcentral describes it as "partial contains 5.8S ribosomal RNA, internal transcribed spacer 2, and large subunit ribosomal RNA". The stretch from base 1 to 52 matches the Rfam family "5.8S ribosomal RNA", at positions 103 to 154 of the family's 154-position model. The record is from RNAcentral. RNAcentral also lists the same sequence under 2 other names. Lineage: Eukaryota; Fungi; Ascomycota; Leotiomycetes; Helotiales; Hyaloscyphaceae.